This is a long non-coding RNA of Macrobrachium nipponense, 1583 nucleotides long. RefSeq lists it as uncharacterized. The transcript has 2 exons. The record is from RefSeq and is a predicted model, not a curated record. Lineage: Eukaryota; Metazoa; Arthropoda; Malacostraca; Decapoda; Palaemonidae.
AUCCACAGUCAUAGACUCUUUUAAUAAUUAGAAAGUUACCAGAAUACACCGUCCACGAUAUAGUAAAGACAUAUCGUGACACCAUGUGUCUUAAAAUCGUGGAUUUAUCUCGCCUUUUGACUGAAAAGUGGCGAUACAUUCGAGCACGUUUAAACUUACCGCGCUUAAUCGUGCAAUCGCAAAAUAUUUCGUAAUGUCGUCUAUGCCAGUACACUGCGAUAUUUUAUGUAUACAUAAAAUUAAUGGCAUUCUGGAAAAUGACUUACAAACUGAUUCAUGAUAAUUUGACGGACUCAUAAUAUUCUAAGAGGGUGAAAAUGACUUAUGCAAGUGGUUUACGUAAGUUAUAUGCGAUGCAUUUCUACGACAUUUUCAUCUCACUGUUUUAUGAAUAUGACAAAUAUUUCGUUAAAGUCCCAUAAUUACCUAAAUAAACGAAAAGAAAUAAUUUCCAAUGUCGAUAAAACUUUACGCAACACCAUUAUUUCGUUUGGCUCCAGGUUUUCUCUGGAAACGCCACCCAAUCAACGGCGAGGUUUCAAGGACCGCCCAUCAGAGUCGACCAAUGGUGAGCGGCUUUAGAAAGUCGUCCCCAGAUUCCGCUUUGCAUUCAUCCCUGUCGCGCGUGGACCUCUCGGCUAACGUUACCACGUCCAUUCACCUCUCGUUCCAAAAAUCCACAACAUGGGUGACGUAGAGAAGGGCAAGAAGAUCUUCGUGCAGAGAUGCGCUCAGUGCCACACCGUGGAGGCAGGCGGCAAGCACAAGACAGGCCCCAACCUGAACGGUCUGUUCGGAAGGCAGACUGGCAAGGCCGCUGGCUACGUCUACACAGAUGCUAACAAGUCCAAGGGAAUUGUCUGGGGAGCCGACACUCUAGACGUCUACCUGACCAACCCUAAAAAGUAUAUUCCUGGAACUAAAAUGGUCUUCGCUGGCUUGAAGAAGAAGAAGGAAAGGUCCGAUUUGAUAGCCUACCUUGAGGAAUCGACAAAGUAAAUCGUCUCUAUGUACUUUUUUAUUCCAAUAGAAAGUUCGAAGAUUCUUUUAAAAAAAUGAGAAAAAAGAUGAAAAGGUAACAGUUUAAGGAGUCGUUAUUUAUUUUAGAUUGUACUGUACAUAGUUUAAAAAAAAAAAAAAAGUCCGUGACCCCUAUGUUCCAGAAAACAGUGUCGCAAUAACAAAUCGUCUCGUUCAAUAUUUUGGAACACCCUGUGCUUUCGUCAUGGUUUCCCCUCGCCCAAGUUAUCCCAACAUUCAGUUCAGUUGUUGAACAAUUUCGAUUUUAAGAUUGGUAGAACUUGUACACAGGGUAAAGAAAAUUAGUCUUGUGUGUAAAUAGCCGCUUUCAGUACCAGUCAGGGUGCAGAGAAGAGGCCCUUUCGGUGCAAUCUGUGGAUAAAUGUUGUCUCGUCUUCACGGAUGGAUGAAGGUUUACGGUGAUAAUCAUUCCACCUUUUUAAUAAGUAAUUUAAUUGAGUUUGCAACCAAAGAUUGUUUGAAACGAGCAUUUGGUCCUGACUGGAGAAUUCAUUCCACUCAUGUAAUUUUGUUUUUCAACAAAAUAAAUGGAAAAGCUCUUA